Molecule: ribosomal RNA, 819 nt
Filed under: Clostridium sp. AL01-11
Lineage: Bacteria; Bacillati; Bacillota; Clostridia; Eubacteriales; Clostridiaceae
Description: bacterial SSU rRNA
Rfam family: Bacterial small subunit ribosomal RNA
Source: RNAcentral
CCUCCUGAGGGGAUAGGGCCGGACGGGUGGAGUUACGCGUGGGUAACCUGCCUCAUACACAUGGUAUAACAUACCGAAAGGUAUGCUAAUACAGGAUAAUAUAAGAGAUUCACAUGUAUUUCUUAUCAAAGCUCCGGCGGUAUGAGAUGGACCCGCGUCUGAUUAGCUAGUUGGUAAGGUAACGGCUUACCAAGGCGACGAUCAGUAGCCGACCUGAGAGGGUGAUCGGCCACAUUGGAACUGAGACACGGUCCAAACUCCUACGGGAGGCAGCAGUGGGGAAUAUUGCACAAUGGGCGAAAGCCUGAUGCAGCAACGCCGCGUGAGUGAUGAAGGCCUUCGGGUCGUAAAACUCUGUCCUCAAGGAAGAUAAUGACGGUACUUGAGGAGGAAGCCCCGGCUAACUACGUGCCAGCAGCCGCGGUAAUACGUAGGGGGCUAGCGUUAUCCGGAUUUACUGGGCGUAAAGGGUGCGUAGGUGGUUUCUUAAGUCAGGAGUGAAAGGCUACGGCUCAACCGUAGUAAGCUCUUGAAACUGGGAGACUUGAGUGCAGGAGAGGAAAGUGGAAUUCCUAGUGUAGCGGUGAAAUGCGUAGAUAUUAGGAGGAACACCAGUAGCGAAGGCGGCUUUCUGGACUGUAACUGACACUGAGGCACGAAAGCGUGGCGGAGCGAACAAGGAUUAGAUACCCUGGGUAGUCCCACGCCGUAAAACGAGGUAGUUCUACGUGUUCGGGGGGUUUACCCCCCCUUGGUGCCCCGCUAGGCUAAACAGAAUUAAAGUUUACUUCCCCCCUUGGGUGGAGCUGUCUGCCGUUA